GGCCAGGUAGCUCAGUUGGUUAGAGCAUUGUCCUGAUAAGCCACGGUUGUGGGUUCGAAAUCCAGUCAGGGCA
Molecule: non-coding RNA, 73 nt
Organism: Myotis lucifugus (little brown bat)
Lineage: Eukaryota; Metazoa; Chordata; Mammalia; Chiroptera; Vespertilionidae
Source: Rfam